AGAGUUUGAUCCUGGCUCAGGACGAACGCUGGCGGCGUGCUUAACACAUGCAAGUCGAACGAGAGGAGAAGGAAGCUUGCUUCUUUCAAAUCUAGUGGCAAACGGGUGAGUAACACGUAAACAACCUGCCUUCAGGAUGGGGACAACAGACGGAAACGACUGCUAAUACCGAAUACGUUCCUUAGGUCGCAUGACCUUGGGAAGAAAGGGUGGCCUCUACUUGUAAGCUAUCGCCUGAAGAGGGGUUUGCGUCUGAUUAGGUAGUUGGUGAGGUAACGGCCCACCAAGCCGACGAUCAGUAGCCGGUCUGAGAGGAUGAACGGCCACACUGGAACUGAGACACGGUCCAGACUCCUACGGGAGGCAGCAGUGGGGAAUCUUCCGCAAUGGGCGAAAGCCUGACGGAGCAACGCCGCGUGAGUGAUGACGGCCUUCGGGUUGUAAAGCUCUGUGAUCGGGGACGAACGGUCAGCAGACGAAUACUCUGCUGAAGUGACGGUACCCGAAUAGCAAGCCACGGCUAACUACGUGCCAGCAGCCGCGGUAAUACGUAGGUGGCAAGCGUUGUCCGGAAUUAUUGGGCGUAAAGCGCGCGCAGGCGGCUUCUUAAGUCCAUCUUAAAAGUGCGGGGCUUAACCCCGUGAUGGGAUGGAAACUGAGAGGCUGGAGUAUCGGAGAGGAAAGUGGAAUUCCUAGUGUAGCGGUGAAAUGCGUAGAGAUUAGGAAGAACACCGGUGGCGAAGGCGACUUUCUGGACGACAACUGACGCUGAGGCGCGAAAGCGUGGGGAGCAAACAGGAUUAGAUACCCCUGGUAGUCCACGCCGUAAACGAUGAAUACUAGGUGGUAGGAGGUAUCGACCCCCUUUUGUGCCGGAGCUAACACAAUAAGUAUUCCGCCUGGGAAAGUACGAUCCGCAAGAUUAAAACUCCAAAGGAAUUGGACGGGGGGCCCCGCCAAACCGGUGGGAAGUUAUGUGGGUUUAAAUCCGAACGCACCCCCGAAGAAACCUUUCCCAGGGCUUUGGAAUUUGGUUCGCUAUUCCAAAAAAUUUGGAGAAUUCUCUCUUCCGAAGGACAGAAAAAACAAGGUGGGGGCCCGGGUUGCUCUCACCUCCGGUCCCUGGAAGAAAUUUGGUGUUAUAUCCCCGCACCAAAGCGCAACCCCCUACUCUUAUGUUCACACACCCCCUUAUUUGGUGGGGUACUCAUGAGAGACCGCCGCGGACAACGCGGAGGAAGGUGGGGAUGACGUCAAGUCAUCAUGCCCCUUAUGACCUGGGCUACACACGUACUACAAUGGGUGUCAACAAAGAGAAGCGAAGCCGCGAGGCAGAGCAAACCUCAAAAACACACCCCCAGUUCAGAUUGCAGGCUGCAACCCGCCUGCAUGAAGUAGGAAUCGCUAGUAAUCGCGGGUCAGCAUACCGCGGUGAAUACGUUCCCGGGCCUUGUACACACCGCCCGUC
This 1468-nucleotide ribosomal RNA is filed under the name uncultured bacterium. Its description in RNAcentral is "bacterial SSU rRNA". It matches the Rfam family "Bacterial small subunit ribosomal RNA". The record is from RNAcentral.